GCAUGUGAGCGGUGAUGGAUUUGUAUGCCGCGGUGGGCUCCCUGCUAUUGUGCAGUUGACCAUCGACGCUGCAAGUCUCUUCAAUGGCACUCUAUUUGAAUGGAGAUGCGUGUGUUGCCUGUACAAUCUACCUAGUUCCUUUGGAAAUAGACAUUGUUUACCUCGCUUAUCCACUUCUCAUGUCCUAUAUGAAUGAGGAGUGUCGAUGUCCGUGCACCUUGAGUGUCCUCGAACGAUGGCAUGUCUCAGACCUCUCGUCUCGAGUGGCUCCAGUGUUCACGUGAGUGCUCUUGGAUGCAGUGGAUAAGAAUGUACCAUGGGUCUUCGGACUCUUGGCACAUGAUCCGUUGGCUUUCUUAGUCGCCCUUCGACGGAUGACGGCCUUCCCAUCGUUGCCCCCCUUUCCCUUGUGGUAAUGGGUCGGCAUGUUGGGCUUGGCGUCGUAGAGGACGUGCUACC
This 459-nucleotide unclassified non-coding RNA is filed under the name Musa acuminata AAA Group (dessert banana). Its description in RNAcentral is "partial external transcribed spacer". The record is from RNAcentral. Lineage: Eukaryota; Viridiplantae; Streptophyta; Magnoliopsida; Zingiberales; Musaceae.